AAAAAUUGAGAUUUGAGGGGUAAGAGAGGGUUACCCUUACUUACCCCUACCUCCAUUAACUCAACUCUUCCCAAAUAAGGGUAAAAUAAUUAAUUAUCCUUCCUUACCUUUAUUUACCCUCCCUCACCUUCAUCCAAACAGACCUUUAAUUUCAAUUCUAAUUAAAUUUUAUGAAAAAUGGAAGAUGUGACUUCAAUUUGCCUAAUUCAGCUACAGAGAUAACUAGUGUGUAAGUGGAUCUUGGAUGGUUUUAGUCUGUUACUAUUGAUUUUAUCUGUGAUUGUUAAUAAUCAGUUUUUGUUGCUUUGAUUUUUGUU
RNAcentral lists this unclassified non-coding RNA (317 nucleotides) under Hevea brasiliensis (rubber tree). Lineage: Eukaryota; Viridiplantae; Streptophyta; Magnoliopsida; Malpighiales; Euphorbiaceae. The record is from RNAcentral.